Molecule: long non-coding RNA, 237 nt
Filed under: Salvia miltiorrhiza (redroot sage)
Lineage: Eukaryota; Viridiplantae; Streptophyta; Magnoliopsida; Lamiales; Lamiaceae
Description: long non-coding RNA (SMIL_LNC012919)
Source: RNAcentral
AAAGAAAAGCAGCCGGCCCCUACCAGCAUUAUCACAAGGCGAUAAAGCAAGGGUCCAGCACCAUGUGAUGCCACUAACAAGUGUCGGCAAUCAAGGCCGACAAAAGAAGGUGGAUGUCAUAUUCAAGCAAGCUGGCCACAAGGAUGGAAUCCGAGGCCAACAACCAAGCAAUUAUAGAGGGGAUCAAACCUCUAUAUAAACCCAAGUGCUGGAGAGAAGAAGGGCAUCCGAAAAUCA